Long non-coding RNA from Salvelinus sp. IW2-2015, 911 nucleotides. RefSeq lists it as uncharacterized. The transcript has 3 exons. The record is from RefSeq and is a predicted model, not a curated record. Lineage: Eukaryota; Metazoa; Chordata; Actinopteri; Salmoniformes; Salmonidae.
UUGUAAUUUACGCACCUGUGAUCUAUAAAUCUCUAAUUAACUUAAAAUUGACGGCACUUGAACGUGCCUUACAAUCAGCGAUUUCSCCUUAUAGAAUGCUAGCACAAAUGMGGGUUUAAUCAGGAAUAGCCAUGGACCAAAAGAGAAAAGCAAACUUUUUGGAAGACGAGAUCACGGUGAUGGUAGAGGAGAUUGAAGACAGGCAACACGUAUUAUUCGGUGGACUAAAUAGGGGGUUGACAAACAAAGUCAAACAGGUAGCUUGGGAGUGUGUCGCCGCUGCAGUGAACGAGGUGGGACAGCAAGACAGAACUGUGGCUGAUGUGAAUAAGAAAUGGUCUGACCUUUAAACUGCAAGGGAAAAAAGAAUAUCCAUACAUAACCGUAGCACUAAGGUAACGGGAGGGGGGCCUGGCAUGCCGGAGCUCUCCCAAAUGGACCAACGCAUCGGGGCAAUCAUCGGGGAAAGCGCAUACACUGGCACAUGCUCCGAUGGCGACAGUGGAUGUUUAAAAAAUKCAGUAACUUCGGGAAACUGUGAAGUCAGUCGCACGAAACCCCUACGACUGCAUCACUGCAUCACGAAAUGGGGGAAGCUGCGUUGCAGCCCGUGCGCCAGGUGAGGGUGCCCCCUCCACCAAGGGAAGCUGUGUUACAGCCCGUGCACCCUCCACCCAGGGAUAAAGUGCGUGAGGCUCCCAAAUCAGCAGGUGCCAGGAGUGAGGGGUUAGGUUUGUCCACAGGUGUCGAGGGUCCAUCCACRUUUGCGUCCACGUCUACAGUUUGCGUGUUGACCGCCUCAGUCCUGCAAACCCAGAACGAGUUGAACAUAUUGGUUGGGCAGAUUGUGACUGAACUCAGAACAAUAGGCAGGGUUUUGAAUCAUUUACAAAACGCAAUUGUUGAACGUU